GAGUUUGAUCCUGGCUCAGGAUGAACGCUGGCGGCGUGCCUAACACAUGCAAGUCGAGCGGUAUAUAGUGGAAUGAAACUUCGGUCGAGUGAAGCUAUAGAGAGCGGCGGACGGGUGAGUAACGCGUAGGCAACCUGCCCCAUACAGAGGGAUAGCCUCGGGAAACCGGGAUUAAAACCUCAUAACGCGAGGAGUUCACAUGGACUACUCGCCAAAGAUUCAUCGGUAUGGGAUGGGCCUGCGUCUGAUUAGCUAGUUGGUGAGGUAACGGCUCACCAAGGCGACGAUCAGUAGCCGACCUGAGAGGGUAAUCGGCCACAUUGGAACUGAGACACGGUCCAAACUCCUACGGGAGGCAGCAGUGGGGAAUAUUGCACAAUGGGCGAAAGCCUGAUGCAGCAACGCCGCGUGAGCGAUGAAGGCCUUUGGGUCGUAAAGCUCUGUCCUUUGGGGAAGAAACAAAUGACGGUACCCUUGGAGGAAGCCCCGGCUAACUACGUGCCAGCAGCCGCGGUAAUACGUAGGGGGCGAGCGUUAUCCGGAAUUAUUGGGCGUAAAGAGUGCGUAGGUGGCCAUGUAAGCGCGGGGUGAAAGGCAAUAGCUUAACUAUUGUAAGCCUUGCGAACUGUGUGGCUUGAGUGCAGGANAGGAAAGUGGAAUUCCUAGUGUAGCGGGUGAAAUGCGUAGAUNUUAGGAGGAACNCCAGUGGCGAAGGCGACUUUCUGGACUGUAACUG
RNAcentral lists this ribosomal RNA (736 nucleotides) under uncultured bacterium. RNAcentral's name for it is "bacterial SSU rRNA". It matches the Rfam family "Bacterial small subunit ribosomal RNA", at positions 9 to 742 of the family's 1533-position model. The record is from RNAcentral.